UGGACGUCUUUCAGCGAAAUUCCUAUCGGCAGAGUCAUUGCUAAAUAUACAAGGUGACAAUUUUUUUCCCAGUCACUGUUAGACUACAACUGGGCGGUGCUUCAUGCUCUGGCUCCGUCCCUCCCCCAAGGUGGGCUUUUUUGAAAGGGAGGCAGACACAAACGACACAAAAUGCUUUGGGCAAAACUUAUAGAACUGUUAUUUUAUUUACAUGGUGACAUUCAAGAUUCAACCAUACACGUUUCAACCGGAAUAUAGCGAAGUAGAUUUGAAACAAAGAGUUGGAUUUAGCUACAAGCUCAGCUACAGACAAUGCCAGCACUAAGAAGGCAGAUGACAAAUAUGGUUGCUAGCUAGCUAAACAAUACCGUGUGGUGCCUGGGCUUCUUUCUGGAGUGGAUUAUAGGACAAUGACCCAACACACCUCCAGGCUGUGUAAGGGCUAUUUGACCAAGAAGGAGAGUGAUGGAGUGGUGCAUCAGAUGACCUGGCCUCCAACAUACCUCAACCAAAUUGAGAUGGUUUGGGAUGUGUCGGACCGCAAGUGCAUAGCAUAUGUGGGAACUCCUUCAAGACUUUUGGAAAAGCAUUCCAGGUGAAUCUGGUUGAGAGAAUGCCAAGAGUGUGCAAAGCUGUCAUCAAGGCAAAUGGUGGCUUUUGGAAGAAUCUCAAAUAUAAAAUAUAUUUGGUUUUUGGUUACUUCAUGAUUCCAUAUGUGUUAUUUCAUAGUUUUGAUGUCUUCACUAUUAUUCUACAAUGUAGAAACUAGUAAAAAUAAAGAAAAACCCUUGAAUGAGUAGGUGUUCUAAAACUUUGUAUGGACAUAAUGUAUUUACUUAUUUAUUCUCAUUUUCAAGUAUAGGUGACAAAUCAUGCAUUCCGAUUCUUGCAUAGAUUGUAACAGACACAUAUGAUGUGUGUAAAAUACUUUUUUGAUGGUUGUACUGAUUAUGAUGUGCUAAUGCUAAGCUACUUGCCGGCUAUGUGUGGCACCAUGUUUGUUGACAUCAUUCAAUGCUUUCUGGCUUUCACGUAAGCGUAUGUAAGACCAAAGAUGUUAUAACAAGGAAUAGUUCACUCGACUGACUUAUGGUGCUUUCAAGACAACUGGGAACUCAGAAAAAUAUUAGGUCAAAUCAUGACAUCAGCGAUCUUCAGGUCGGAAAGUCGGCACUCUAGAAAGAGGCCCGAGUUCCCGAGUUGAAUGCCGUUCAAAAGAUUCUUCCCAGUCAGAGCUCGUUUUUUCAGAGUUCCCAGGUGUCUUGAACGUACUGAAGUCGGAAGUCUGAGAUUUCCGAGUUCCCAGUUGUUUUGAAUGUGGCAUCAGAUUGUAACUUUGGAACCUCAGGGUUGCCAGCUCAGACCCCCAUUCCAGGGGUAUUUAUUUUUAUUUAGAGUAUAAACUUCUCCUGUGUUUGCCUCCGAUUGAUAAAUCACCCAUCAUAGUAAAAUUUCCUGCAUCAUAUCCUCACACGAUACCUUCCCCCCAUGGACUUGAAAACCCCCCACAAAUGAAAUGAUCCCCCCGCAAACCCCCCUAAAAUGGUUUCAUCCCUGUUUAGCUUUCGCGCUAUGGUUAAGCUAGGCAGUAGGCUUGUAUUUGGGGUAAUGGUAAAUGACUUGUCAAGUUAUAUGCUCCAGUUUUUUUAAUUUUUUUAUUUAAUUUUUCAUUAUUGAAUAUCCGAAACAUACAAUAUACUUGCAGUGAAGCCGCUCAACGACUACACCACACCAGUCAUCCAACAGACUCCCAUUCAGAGCGACACACAGAAGCAUCCAGGGUCAAUGCCCUGCUCAAGGGCACGUUGACGGAUCUCCCACCAGGCCAAAAAACGUGAACCCGAACCCGACAAGAUCCCCCCACAGUUCCGCAAUAGCUGUCCCUCAACCAUUCGAGACCCCCCCAGAAGAAAAAUUAAAAUUAAAAAUACAAUUAAUUCCAUUCCAUUCCCCACCCCCAAGAACCCCCCAAUGCGCCUACAACCAAGAGAAUGAACUAUAGAGAAAAAAGAAAAAGACAGAAGAAAACAGCAAACAACAAUGCAAAAAAACAAUAAAAAACAAAGGACAUCAAGGACAACUGAAAUCAUAACAGCAAUGCCAACUGUAUAUGUUUGUGUGCAUGUCUGGCACUAUUACAUGUAUGUGUGUGUUCUUGUAUGCGUUUAUUUGAAUGAGAGUGUGUGUAUAUGCAUGUGCUCCAGUUCUUGUAUACACUAUAACAAGUACAUUGAAGAUUUAUAAUAUGCUGAAAAGUAGCUAAACUAAGUUAACAUUUUUCAGGCAAAUGGGAGUAGCCAUCUUUGACUUUGUUCAUUUGCAUCUAAUAUUGAAUGGCAUUCUAGGAUUAGGGAGUUUUCACCAAAUCAAACAUAAAGAAACAUGGCUGCCAUCAUAAAAAUGUUGCUGUUGUUAUCUCAGCCGACACGCAUCUCUUCUCUAAACAAUAUUACAUUUCUCACUUGUGCUCACCGGAGAUGUGGUACAUUGUAAACAAGUCUAGCUGUUAGUUGCUAACUUGUCUUUUGGUUUUUGUCAGCGCAACCUGUUAUUUAGACUGGGUUAUGGAAAGAGUUUAGCUAUG
This 2584-nucleotide long non-coding RNA is filed under the name Salmo salar (Atlantic salmon). RNAcentral describes it as "lncRNA (ENSSSAG00000108472.1)". The record is from RNAcentral. Lineage: Eukaryota; Metazoa; Chordata; Actinopteri; Salmoniformes; Salmonidae.